This 478-nucleotide ribosomal RNA is filed under the name uncultured Glomus. RNAcentral describes it as "SSU rRNA". It matches the Rfam family "Eukaryotic small subunit ribosomal RNA", at positions 569 to 1051 of the family's 1831-position model. The record is from RNAcentral. Lineage: Eukaryota; Fungi; Glomeromycota; Glomeromycetes; Glomerales; Glomeraceae.
UGCAGCCGCGGUAAUUCCAGCUCCAAUAGCGUAUAUUAAAGUUGUUGCAGUUAAAAAGCUCGUAGUUGAAUUUCGAGAUCAGUACGCUGGUCGUGCCUUCGGUAUGCACUGGUGUCACUGGUUUCUCCCUUCUGAAGAACCGUCAUGUCAUUAAGUUGGUGUGGCGGGGAAUCAGGACUGUUACUUUGAAAAAAUUAGAGUGUUUAAAGCAGGCUCGCGCUUGAAUACAUUAGCAUGGAAUAAUGAAAUAGGACGUUUGACCCUAUUUUGUUGGUUUCUAGGAUCGACGUAAUGAUUAAUAGGGAUAGUUGGGGGCAUUAGUAUUCAAUUGUCAGAGGUGAAAUUCUUGGAUUUAUUGAAGACUAACUACUGCGAAAGCAUUUGCCAAGGAUGUUUUCAUUAAUCAAGAACGAAAGUUAGGGGAUCGAAGACGACCAGAUACCGUCGUAGUCUUAACCAUAAACUAUGCCGACUAGGG